RNAcentral lists this ribosomal RNA (549 nucleotides) under uncultured bacterium. Its description in RNAcentral is "bacterial SSU rRNA". It matches the Rfam family "Bacterial small subunit ribosomal RNA", at positions 355 to 897 of the family's 1533-position model. The record is from RNAcentral.
UAGGGAAUCUUCCGCAAUGGGCGAAAGCCUGACGGAGCAACGCCGCGUGAGUGAAGAAGGAUUUCGGUUCGUAAAGCUCUGUUGUUAGGGAAGAAUGAUUGUGUAGUAACUAUACAUAGUAGAGACGGUACCUAACCAGAAAGCCACGGCUAACUACGUGCCAGCAGCCGCGGUAAUACGUAGGUGGCAAGCGUUGUCCGGAAUUAUUGGGCGUAAAGCGCGCGCAGGUGGUUUAAUAAGUCUGAUGUGAAAGCCCACGGCUCAACUGUGGAGGGUCAUUGGAAACUGUUAAACUUGAGUGCAGGAGAGAAAAGUGGAAUUCCUAGUGUAGCGGUGAAAUGCGUAGAGAUUAGGAGGAACACCAGUGGCGAAGGCGGCUUUUUGGCCUGUAACUGACACUGAGGCGCGAAAGCGUGGGGAGCAAACAGGAUUAGAUACCCUGGUAGUCCACGCCGUAAACGAUGAGUGCUAAGUGUUGGUCUCAUAAGAGAUCAGUGCUGCAGCUAACGCAUUAAGCACUCCGCCUGGGGAGUACGACCGCAAGGUUGA